UUAACAAAUUUUGCUUUUCGCUCAGACUGCAAACUUCAGACAGCGUUCAAGGGUGUCUUCGGCAGGCGCGGGCCCGGGGGCAGAGGCCCCCCGGCGGCCGUGAGGCGGGCCCGCCGAAGCAACAAGGUUCGUUAAACACGGGUGGGAGGUUGGACCCCGAGGGGCCCUCACUCAGUAAUGAUCCUUCCGCAGGUUCACCUACGGAAA
This 207-nucleotide unclassified non-coding RNA is filed under the name uncultured fungus. RNAcentral describes it as "sequence contains ITS1". Lineage: Eukaryota; Fungi. The record is from RNAcentral.